CCUACGGGGGGCAGCAGUGAGGAAUAUUGCGCAAUGGGGGCAACCCUGACGCAGCGACGCCGCGUGAGUGAGGAAGGCCUUCGGGUCGUAAAGCUCUGUCAAGAGGGAAGAAGUGCAUGGUGGUUAAUAUCUGUCAUGUUUGACGGUACCUCUAAAGGAAGCACCGGCUAACUCCGUGCCAGCAGCCGCGGUAAUACGGAGGGUGCAAGCGUUGUUCGGAAUCACUGGGCGUAAAGGGCGCGCAGGCGGCCUGAUCAGUCAGAUGUGAAAGCCCACGGCUUAACUGUGGAAGUGCAUUUGAAACUGUCAGGCUUGAGUACCAGAGGGGAAAGUGGAAUUCCCGGUGUAGAGGUGAAAUUCGUAGAUAUCGGGAGGAAUACCGGUGGCGAAGGCGACUUUCUGGCUGGAUACUGACGCUGAGGCGCGAAAGCGUGGGGAGCAAACAGGAUUAGAUACCCCUGUAGUC
This 466-nucleotide ribosomal RNA is filed under the name uncultured Desulfobulbus sp. Its description in RNAcentral is "bacterial SSU rRNA". It matches the Rfam family "Bacterial small subunit ribosomal RNA", at positions 338 to 795 of the family's 1533-position model. The record is from RNAcentral. Lineage: Bacteria; Pseudomonadati; Thermodesulfobacteriota; Desulfobulbia; Desulfobulbales; Desulfobulbaceae.